RNAcentral lists this ribosomal RNA (329 nucleotides) under uncultured eukaryote. RNAcentral's name for it is "partial 18S ribosomal RNA". It matches the Rfam family "Eukaryotic small subunit ribosomal RNA", at positions 1470 to 1796 of the family's 1831-position model. The record is from RNAcentral.
CCCUUAGAUGUCCUGGGCCGCACGCGCGCUACACUGAGUGUCUGAGAUACGAGUCUGCCUGGUCCGGCAAGGUCUAGGUAAUCGCUAAAAGACACAUCAUGCUUGGGAUAGAUUAUUGCAAAUAUUAAUCUUGAACGAGGAAUUCCUAGUAAGCGCAAGUCAACAGCUUGCGUUGAUUACGUCCCUGCCCUUUGUACACACCGCCCGUCGCUACUACUGAUUGGAUGUUUAAGCGUGGUUCUCGAACUGCUAGCGACUUAGCUUCGGUGAGGUCGCAGUGUGGGAAGUGAACCUAGCUUUGGUGUCUAGAGGAAGUAAAAGUCGUAACA